AUGAGACUAAGAGAGCCCCUCGCGGGCAUCUCGGGGCCAGGCUCGGGGCCCAGGACCGGCAGUGCUCCCGGACAUGCAGACCGAGGCACGGAGGCACGCAGGCCCAGAGCUUGCCCUUACAGCAGAAGCAGGGAGAUGCGCAGGGAGCUAGUGGAGAAAUAUUUUCAAAGGAAAACAUCGACCCGUUUAGAGUCCCAUCUGCCUGAAGCGUGCUGUGUAGACCAUCCCUGGGUGAAUUCUUGGGUGAGAGCCUUCUGUACUUCAACUGACCGUGUACGUGGUAGUGUUUGCAGUCUGAGGUGGUUUUUGCACAAGAGUGUCUGCUUUCCUGAUGGGUUUAGAUCUUUGUACUUAAGAUCUGAUUUGAAAUACUUGGCCUUAACAGAGGUUUUGAAUAUGCUGAUAACCCCACCAUGUUAACCAUAGGCCGUCGGCCGGCCACAUUGAAACCCAGGUCCACACAAGUUUUGAUCCCUCUGUUUAUUUCCAUUUGAGGUGUAUGCCGAGUGCACGGACAGCUUGUCCACGAAAUGCUUUUCUCCAAGAAAACGCAUUGUCGUGCUUGAAUCCCAGAUGGCCACGGGCACCUUUAAAUGAACUUGACAUGAUGUCACUUUGAUUGGAGCUCCUUCGUUCGUUCAAAUCCCGCUCUGUUGCGUCUGGCUUUUCUCUCUUGCCCGCGACACUGAGCAUCAGACGACUGGGCUUCCAGAUGCAGCCCGUUGUUCUUUCGCUCUGGGCUGGUGAAUAAGGUGGCUGUGGCACCAGGCUUGCCGUGGCAGUGGUGGGUCUAGAACUUUGGAGGCCUGCGUGCCUCACUGAAGCCUGUUAAGGAAAACCCUUCACCUUCUCGAGAAAGUUACCUCAUGUGAAAAAGUGGGUGUUAAUAGCUAUCGUGGAAGGUUAUCGUGAAAACUUAAAAAUCUCGCUGGUGAGAGCACGGUGCGUCCAGAGGGAGGCCCGUAUACGUAGACAGGUCUGCUAGCCGUGCAGACACCCCCUCACAAUGGCCUAGGCGAUCCGACUCCAGGCAAAUUCACUUUUCAAUUAAAGCUUUAAAAAUACAGCUUAUACCCCUGAAAAUACUAAUAUGGAGGUAGCAUUUGUGGGCACGGCUGUGUUUAGUUGGUGGCUUUCUUCAGUAAGCGCAGUAAAGUGAAAUAGAGCACUUGGUCUAUUUCUGGAAACCCUGUCAUUUCAUUGUAAACAUGCAGCAGAGGGAAGGGUGUAAUUGUCCAGGUGCACAUUUACUGUCUUGCCCCAAUCUAGUAUUCCUGUUGUGUUUCGGCAUCACCUUUGCCCUGUAUUAAAUCGUGUAUUUUUAAAAAGUCAUGCAGCCUUUGGAGCUCCUGCGUAGCUCAGUUGGUUAGGCGUCAGACUUUUGGUUUUGGCUCAGGUCUGGAUCUCAGGGUUGAGAGAUCGAGCCCCACGUUGGGCUCCACACUCAACUCAGAGUCUGCUUGAGACUUUCUCUCUCUCCCCCUCCUCCAUCCCCUCUUUCUUGCUUUCAAACAAAUAAAUAAAUCUUGGGAAUAAAAAGUCAGGCAGCCUUUAAAAUAAUGCUAGAGAGUGCACAAAGAGGAAUUAAUUUUUUAAUCAAAAUUUAUGAACUUGCUGUAUAACAUUUUUAUGAAAGUCCUACUUGAAUUAUCUUUUUCUAUUUGACUAAAAUAGAAUUUGAUUUUUCUAUGGGGUAUUUAACGUUUUGGGUCAUAAUCAUGCCAGGGAUGAAUUAAUAGAUCUUCUCUGAGUGAACUGUCAGGACAGAUCCCCUCUGGCUUUGAAAUGUAAUUAAAAAUGUCAGUGAACUCUGCUGGAGGUCCACAGAGCUUCGGGGACCCCUCAACAACGCCGUCAGGGCUGAAAAUAGCCACCCACGUACAGAGAACAUGAGGCAGCAGCAAACUCUCCAGGAGCAGGAGGGAGAGGCCGCCGGUCAUCUCUGUCAGGCUUCUCUUGUCUCAACUUCCUUGUGGUUUCAGAAUAUUAUUCUCGAAUUUCCCGCAGGGGUAUUUUUAGCAGAAGGCUGUGGGUCCAGUAGGGGGCCCCUCUCAAUAAAUGGCCAGUGCAGGAGCCCUCCAAAAGAGGAGGGAGUCUCUGAAUGUAAAUAUCCAUGCUCUCUGCAACCCUUCUCCCUUAAUUAGGCUCUCAGACUUGCUUCCUUUCCACUUGGCACACCUUUCUUUUGUUUUUGGCAGGCUUUGAAGGAUGUGGGGAGGAGUUGUUGGAAGGAGGCUGGAAGAAUCCUGGGAGCAGAGGUGCCUUGUGACGGCCACCUGUCCCCGCCUUCCCCAUCUCCUCCCUCCACAGAGGUACCUGACUGCCUCAGAGCUGGAAACGGGGAGCUGAGGGUAGAGGAGGAGAACGAUUUUGUUUAGGGAGAGGUCAGUAGGUACAAAGCAACUUGUUUCUGGGGUGUAUUAAAAAUACUGGUUUCAGGCGAAUAAAUAAUCUUGCAGUUACUUGCAAGCAGGCAGUCCUAAUUUCUGGUUUU
Molecule: long non-coding RNA, 2494 nt
Organism: Ursus thibetanus thibetanus
Lineage: Eukaryota; Metazoa; Chordata; Mammalia; Carnivora; Ursidae
Source: Ensembl